Molecule: ribosomal RNA, 496 nt
Filed under: uncultured bacterium
Lineage: Bacteria
Description: partial 16S ribosomal RNA
Rfam family: Bacterial small subunit ribosomal RNA
Source: RNAcentral
GAUGAACGCUGGCGGCGUGCCUAAUACAUGCAAGUCGAGCGAACAGAUGAGGAGCUUGCUCCUCUGACGUUAGCGGCGGACGGGUGAGUAACACGUGGAUAACCUACCUAUAAGACUGGGAUAACUUCGGGAAACCGGAGCUAAUACCGGAUAAUAUAUUGAACCGCAUGGUUCAAUAGUGAAAGACGGUUUUGCUGUCACUUAUAGAUGGAUCCGCGCCGCAUUAGCUAGUUGGUAAGGUAACGGCUUACCAAGGCGACGAUGCGUAGCCGACCUGAGAGGGUGAUCGGCCACACUGGAACUGAGAAACGGUCCAGACUCCAACGGGAGGCAGCAGUAGGGAAUCUUCGCAAUGGGCGAAAGCCUGACGGAGCAACGCCGCGUGAGUGAUGAAGGUCUUCGGAUCGUAAAACUCUGUUAUUAGGGAAGAACAAAUGUGUAAGUAACUAUGCACGUCUUGACGGUACCUAAUCAGAAAGCCACGGCUAACUACGUG